This is a non-coding RNA of Gopherus evgoodei (Goodes thornscrub tortoise), 73 nucleotides long. NCBI's taxonomy places the organism in Eukaryota, Metazoa, Chordata, Testudines, Testudinidae. The record is from the annotation of a RefSeq genome assembly.
GUAUCUGUAGUGUAGUGGUUAUCACGUUUGCCCAACAUGCAAGAGGUCCCUGUUUCAAAACCAGGCAGCAACA